CCCGCUGAGUUUAAGCAUAUCAAUAAGCGGAG
This 32-nucleotide ribosomal RNA is filed under the name Roldana suffulta. Its description in RNAcentral is "partial 26S ribosomal RNA". The record is from RNAcentral. Lineage: Eukaryota; Viridiplantae; Streptophyta; Magnoliopsida; Asterales; Asteraceae. RNAcentral also lists the same sequence under 4 other names.